GAGCCUUGUUGGUUACAGAGGAAAAAUUAAGAUAUUGAUCUGAAAUUGAUGUUUAUUUCAAAAUCUUAUAGAACAAACUUAAAGUUUAAUAGAACAUAAAUUUGUGGUGGAUCCACCCUUUUGUAGUGUUGGAGGUUUAGUUUAGGGAAUUCAUUUUUUGGCAUCUUUCUUUCUGUUGAAAUACAGUCCAUGUGAUGCGUUUGUAUUGUUAAAUCGCUGACAGAAAUCUGAUUCUUUCAAGUAAAUUUUGAGUGCAGAAGCUACACCUCUUCAACUAGUUCCUUGCAAUAACUUCCUUGUACGCAAGAUUGUUGACUUUGAUUAUUCUAUUGAUUGUGCAUGGUAUCAUCAU
RNAcentral lists this unclassified non-coding RNA (352 nucleotides) under Hevea brasiliensis (rubber tree). The record is from RNAcentral. Lineage: Eukaryota; Viridiplantae; Streptophyta; Magnoliopsida; Malpighiales; Euphorbiaceae.